RNAcentral lists this unclassified non-coding RNA (454 nucleotides) under Osteospermum clandestinum. Its description in RNAcentral is "partial contains external transcribed spacer and 18S ribosomal RNA". Lineage: Eukaryota; Viridiplantae; Streptophyta; Magnoliopsida; Asterales; Asteraceae. The record is from RNAcentral.
AAAGGUGCAUGAGUGGUGUUUGGUUUGUUACGCGUGGUUGGCUGUUUGCGUUUGCAACAACGUCCACGCUUUCAAACCACUUCAGUUGUGCGACAAGGCUUGUAUCGCCUUGGCGUCUGGGGGGUUUCUGGGGUUGCAUAACCUAACCACCGGGAUCGGUUAAAAAGAUCAUAGUCCCAUUUCGUCUUGUGUCGCAUUUGUGAACGUGGGGUGAACCUUCCGGUGAUUUUUUUGAUCCCACCUGGUUUCCAUACGGCACGCGUUGUUGGCAUUGUGGCUCAUUGAGAGUUUGUUGGGUUCUUGGAUUCGGAAUCCGUAAGCAGGCACUGUUUAGGGUCCUUGUUUUUCCCUCUAUAAUUUUUAAAAAACCAAAUUUUCCUGUUAUGGCAUUGGUCGUGGGGGUAGGCUAUAUCGAAUAUGAAUGCUACCUGGUUGAUCCUGCCAGUAGUCAUAU